GAACGGGUGAGUAAUGCAUCGGAACGUGUCCUAAAGUGGGGGAUAACGCAUCGAAAGACGCGCUAAUACCGCAUAAUCUCUGAGGAGGAAAGUAGGGGAUCGAAAGACCUUAUGCUUUUGGAGCGGCCGAUGUCUGAUUAGCUAGUUGGUAGGGUAAUGGCCUACCAAGGCGACGAUCAGUAGUUGGUCUGAGAGGAUGGCCAACCACACUGGGACUGAGACACGGCCCAGACUCCUACGGGAGGCAGCAGUGGGGAAUUUUGGACAAUGGGCGCAAGCCUGAUCCAGCAAUGCCGCGUGAGUGAAGAAGGCCUUCGGGUUGUAAAGCUCUUUCAGUUGAGAGGAAAAGGUUGUGACUAAUAAUCACAAUUCAUGACAGUAUCAACAGAAGAAGCACCGACUAACUACGUGCCAGCAGCCGCGGUAAUACGUAGGGUGCGAGCGUUAAUCGGAAUUAUUGGGCGUAAAGGGUGCGCAGGCGGCUCUGUAAGUCAGAUGUGAAAUCCCCGGGCUUAACCUGGGAAUUGCGUUUGAAACUACAGGACUAGAGUGUGGCAGAGGGGGGUGGAAUUCCAUGUGUAGCAGUGAAAUGCGUAGAGAUGUGGAAGAACAUCGAUGGCGAAGGCAACCCCCUGGGUUAACACUGACGCUCAUGCACGAAAGCGUGGGGAGCAAACAGGAUUAGACACCCUGGUAGUCCACGCCCUAAACUAUGUCAACUAGUUGUCGGGCCUUAAUAGGUUUGGUAACGUAGCUAACGCGUGAAGUUGACCGCCUGGGGAGUACGGUCGCAAGAUUAAAACUCAAAGGAAUUGACGGGGACCCGCACAAGCGGUGGAUUAUGUGGAUUAAUU
Molecule: ribosomal RNA, 854 nt
Filed under: uncultured bacterium
Lineage: Bacteria
Description: bacterial SSU rRNA
Rfam family: Bacterial small subunit ribosomal RNA
Source: RNAcentral